CUUCUUCAAACACUUGACCUGAUAAUCCUUCAUAUCUAUUUAGGAUAUUAAAUUCAUUAUUUUUAUUAUAAAAUAAAUUCACAUGCCAAUUAGUAUGAAAGUAACAAUCUACAAUUGUGACACAUACAGAGAAAAAAAUAAAUUACACAUUUGAAUCAUUUUGUGUAGUUUACAUUUAACAAGAUCAGGAGUGGAAACCUACUGCACUCCGGCUGCUAUCGAACUACGGUUCCAUGACUCAAGCAAGCUGAUAUUACACAUCAAGGGAAUAGUUCAAAAGAAGUGUCUUAGCUCAGGUAUAUCUAAUCUGAAUUGACCUGAGUUUAAAACUGAACAUGCGUCCUAACAAGGCUUCAUAUAAUGUUAUGAUGAGUAGAUUUGUUCUGACCAAAAGGAAAAUCUAUCCACGAAUGAUAACGGUCCACAAGACUAUUGUCCAUUUAUAAAAAUGUAUAAACAUGUUAAAGAAUAAGAAAAACAAGGUAGCAAGUAUACUGUGUGUAUUCUUGCAACCUGUGUGUUUGUUUAGUAUUAAAUGAUAGAAAAUUCUGCGCAUAUGAUGAUAUUUGCUCAAAAACAGCAGCUGUGCAUUCUGUGCUCGAUGACAUGUUAAUUGACUAAAAAGCGCACAUUGUAUUUAUCUAAAGACAGAAGAUAUUUACUCUCCUAAUAGAACUUCGGAAUUAGAUAACCUGCUCCAUCUAGGUAGUGUCUAAUACGAUUUGCAUCAUUUCCAGAUGUGGUGCUUGCUCCAUAGUGCAUACUGAUGGGAACAAAAGCAAAAAGUAAACUACUUCAUUUAUUCUAGUGCUGCUUUGUCUUAGUAACUUUACAUUCAUCUUACCUACAAACACCAUCCUCUAACUUUACAGUUGUACAAGGCAAUUGUUAAUUACAUAGAAUAGAGAAAGAGGUUGCCAACGUUUUUUGAGCUUGGUGUAUUUUCCAUAUCUGUUCUUGUACCAUACCUGGCUUAUAUUAAAUAAAAUGACAAAUUAGCAAUUCUUAAAUGUUUCAGUUUCUUAUAUCACAGUUCAUUUCAUG
Pelobates cultripes (western spadefoot toad) is the source of this 1044-nucleotide non-coding RNA. The record is from the annotation of a GenBank genome assembly. Lineage: Eukaryota; Metazoa; Chordata; Amphibia; Anura; Pelobatidae.